GUUUGUGUUUUUGAACCAGACGCGGUUGAAGGCAGCUAAAACGACACUCGUUAACAACUGUCAUUUGUGCCUUUUCUACAUUGAAGUUCUUGAUUGGUGAUAUUUCAAAGUUUUAAAGGUUUGUCCUCAUCUUCGGAGUCAUGUCCUCCAGGAAGUCGAGUUCCAGUAGGGAAGACCUGCCUUCCAGUAAACAUGGAGAGCGUACACCCCUUCGAAGUCUGGACAAUGAAAUCCUACAUUUUUCAACUCCGUCAUCUGAACUCAAGAAGCUGUCCUCUGAAGCUGCGAAAAUGUCAAUGGCGAGCUUUUCGCCGUUCGGCCCAGAAUUCCAGUUGAAUUCCCCUGUGUUCACCAAAAUGACACAGAGCAGUCCUCCCCAUGUGGACUGGUCUACGUCCGACUGUGGACCUGAAGAGGUCACGUUCAAAUCCUUUAUGUGUGACGGUGGUGAGGUUGAGAUUCCCGAGUCUACAGUUUGCCACCAGGCGAGUAUUAUUUUGCCUACAGAUGUUGACACUUGCUGCAGUCGAACCGAAGAUACGAUCCCCUGUCCCAGCGUGAUGGAGCAGUACUGCUGUGAUCAUGCAGAACACCCCUACUACAACCCCAACAUCCACCAAGCCUGCGCUGUGGACAUCGGCUCGCCAAGACUCGGGGAAACCUCCGCUCAAGCGUCUCUUGAUGCCACCAGUGACGGACUACCUUACACAGGAAGUGAAGACCACCAUAUCACUUUGAAAUCCUUUGACUGCCACGGAGGGGAGGUGGAAGUUUCCGAUGCCACCAAGUUACAAGACGAGACCAUUCCAUUGCCCACAGAGCUGGAUUCAUUAGAAGACAAUAGUACAGAAAUCGCUAACUUCUCUGAUUUUAGCCAUUUAUGCCAAGAAGAACAUGCUGAUCACCCAUACUGUAUAAAUGACAAAUGUCCUCUGAUCGCCACCUUUUCUGAAACCAUAACUGUUUUUGAACAGCCUGGAAGCAAAGCUACUGAGUUGCCUUCUAACAGGCUUACCUGUCAUGAAGAUGAGAUUCAAAUCUCAGUAGAUGAGAAGAGUUUUCUCCAUUUACCAGCAGUUUCCAGUAAAAAACCCUCUAACGAUGAUCUAGCUCCAAGCGUUUUGGCCGCAGAACAUGAUCUGCAAAGUGAUCACCUAGACUGCUCUGUUCCAAAUGAUUCCUCACCUCACCAUGAACAGCUCUUCCCCAACCAGGAAAUACUCUGCAGUUCUGGAACCUUUGGAGAUGAACAUCUGGAUCGGACGGUCCAAGGAGAUCCAGUUAAAGCCGCCUUCUGUGCUGUCUUCACAGCAGGAGGCGGCACUGGAAAAGCAGUUGACGACUCGUCUGGUUUACCUGGACAGGCUCAAAUGAAAGAGGAGGUUGUAGAAGGUGUGGGUGAUGGAGAUUCACCAGUUUUUAAUGAAUCCACGAACAAACCGAGUCAGAGGGCUUUACUCGGCGAAGCCACGGAUUGUGAGGUAGAAGAUGUGACACUAACGCAUCCUUCAGUGCUCGCUGGGCCUGCAGAGGUUUCUGUGGAUGACAUAGCAGCACAGCAGGUUAAUGCAUCACACAGAUCCUCUGAAUUCAGUGAGAUAAAAGAACGCGCACUUGGCUCAUCAUCUGUUAAUGGUCCUCUUCUUUGCAACUCUGCGGAAAAACCUGUGGAGAACACUCCUGCGGUUUUGAAGGUCCUGUCAGAAUGUCACUCUCUUGCUUCAGCUUGGAAGUUGGGAAUCCUGAGUCCCAUUGUCAAGAGAGCAUCUAUUUCUUUACUGAAGGCGAGUGAGCAGAUCGCCAAAGACAAAAACUUGGCGGACGAUUCUGUUCUUGAGGGUGACAAGAGCUUAUUUGCCGCGUCUGGGUUAUGUACGGAGCACUUGGAGAGCCCCAUGCCCAGCCCUCUGUUCAACUCCACGGUGGUGUGUCACAAAUUCUCGCCAAGGUCGGCCACAGUGCAAGAGGGCGAUUCGGGUAAGCAGUCCUGUGUCGAGCCUCAGCCUGAAGUCAAGCAGCACGGUGAGGAGAUUCCACUGAUUCCUGAGGGGCAGCUUCAGCAGCAGCUUCGGCAGAUGGCAGAAUUCCUCAUCCUGGCGUGUGGAAAGAUUGGCCCCGCCGUCUCCACCUCUGCCCCGCCUCCUUUUGAGUCCCUGAGUGUUUGUGUGGGCACCAGUCCGGUCAAACUGGUGGACUGCAGUCUUAACACGUCUGGCCUGUUUGAGAGGAGAAGAGAGUUCUCUGUAGCGGAUUCCUGCACCCUGACUGACCCCCUCCUGUGGAAUUUACCUCCAGGCAGCUUGGAGAGUUUGCCCAGACGGGAGCUGGAGCAGAGGCUGACGUCCAGCACCAUCAUGAUCGAGGCUCUGGUCCAGCAGCUGGCCGCAGCCCGGGCUCAUGGGGGGGUCUGCGCAGGCGCUGCUCCUUCAGACCUCCGAGAGAAGCUGGUGCAGACGGACCACACCGAACUCAACCAGACAUCGAUGUACAGAGACUUGUAUCUGGAAGCUUUGAGCAGGAUUGAGAAGCUGGAGCUUGAUGGGGAAUCCCUGCAGAGUCUCCUGUGUUCUUUGGAUGAUGUGAGGGCGACCAUGGCUAGUUUGGCUGGAGACACGGACGCCGCCCUCUCUAACGUGAAAGAGAUCACAGUGGAUAUUAGAGCGGACCACCAGAGCCCCUGUCACACUACGGGCAGAUGAAGGCUCUUUUUUGACAAAGCCAAGGAGUCUCAGAGGAGAACGAUGGAGAAGGCGAAGGAAGUUAUCGCCCAAAGAAACGACAUGAGGACUCGGAUGGAAGACGCUUUCACAGCUAAGGAAGCUGCCUUCAGCGCGAUGGAGCAGCUUAGGAGACAUUGUUCUGCAGAGAUCUCUGCUCUGGAGGAGAGCGUGGGGUCUCAGCAACAGCUUGUGGCUGCUCUAAGACACACCUAUCCUGAGCAGGUUGCAUUAAACAAGACUUGUAGUGAAACUCUAAAGUCAGCCAACGAGCUUCUGUCCCAAACUAUGGAUGAGCACUCCAAUCUGAUGAAUGAGCUUUGCACAGUCCAAAACCUUCUGCAGAGAACUACCCCCAUGCUUCUGAGGCUGAAGGAGGCAGCAGCCGAUGCCCUGACGGAGCGGGACGAGCUCGUUUCUGCAAGAGAUGCAGCCAAAAAGGAAAAA
Molecule: non-coding RNA, 3164 nt
Organism: Oryzias latipes (Japanese medaka)
Lineage: Eukaryota; Metazoa; Chordata; Actinopteri; Beloniformes; Adrianichthyidae
Source: RefSeq, a predicted model, not a curated record